AUUGAACGCUGGCGGCAUGCUUUACACAUGCAAGUCGAACGGCAGCGCGGGCUUCGGCCUGGCGGCGAGUGGCGAACGGGUGAGUAAUUCAUCGGAACGUGCCCAGUAGUGGGGGAUAGCCCGGCGAAAGCCGGAUUAAUACCGCAUACGACCUGAGGUUGAAAGCGGUGGACCGAAAGGCCUCGCGCUAUUUGAUCGCCCGAUGUCGGAUUAGCUAGUUGGUGUGGUAAAGGCUUACCAAGGCGACGAUCCGUAGCUGGUCUGAGAGGACGACCAGCCACACUGGGACUGAGACACGGCCCAGACUCCUACGGGAGGCAGCAGUGGGGAAUUUUGGACAAUGGGGGAAAGCCUGAUCCAGCAAUGCCGCGUGCGGGAAGAAGGCCUUCGGGUUGUAAACCGCUUUUGUUCGGGAAGAAAUCCUCUGGGAUAAUACCCCGGGGGGAUGACGGUACCGGAAGAAUAAGCACCGGCUAACUACGUG
RNAcentral lists this ribosomal RNA (484 nucleotides) under uncultured bacterium. Its description in RNAcentral is "partial 16S ribosomal RNA". It matches the Rfam family "Bacterial small subunit ribosomal RNA", at positions 30 to 507 of the family's 1533-position model. The record is from RNAcentral.